RNAcentral lists this small nuclear RNA (84 nucleotides) under Cricetulus griseus (Chinese hamster). RNAcentral's name for it is "7SK RNA". It matches the Rfam family "7SK RNA", at positions 12 to 95 of the family's 331-position model. From Rfam's summary of the family: 7SK was discovered as an abundant small nuclear RNA in the mid-70s but a possible function has only recently been suggested. Lineage: Eukaryota; Metazoa; Chordata; Mammalia; Rodentia; Cricetidae. The record is from Rfam by way of RNAcentral.
CGAUCUAGCUGCAACAUCUGUCAACCCAUUGAUUGCCAGGGUUGAUUUGGCUGAUCUGGCCUGCUAGGUGGAUGAACUAAUUUU